RNAcentral lists this transfer RNA (64 nucleotides) under Lepidostoma longipilosum. RNAcentral's name for it is "tRNA-Pro". The record is from RNAcentral. Lineage: Eukaryota; Metazoa; Arthropoda; Insecta; Trichoptera; Lepidostomatidae.
CAGAGAGUAGUUUAUAUAAAAUAAUAAUUUUGGAGAUUAUAGAUAGACAUUUGUUUUUCUUUGA